Molecule: ribosomal RNA, 485 nt
Filed under: uncultured bacterium
Lineage: Bacteria
Description: partial 16S ribosomal RNA
Rfam family: Bacterial small subunit ribosomal RNA
Source: RNAcentral
GACGAACGCUGGCGGCGUGCUUAACACAUGCAAGUCGAGGGCACGGGGCAACCCGUGACCGGCGAACGGGUGCGUAACACGUCAGCGACCUGCCGAUCCGCGGGGGAUAGCCGGCCCAACGGCCGGGUAAUACCGCAUACGCCCUCCUGUCGGCAUCGCCGGGGGCGGAAACCUCCGGGGCGGAAUGGGGGGCUCGCGGCCUAUCAGCUAGUUGGUGCGGUAACGGCGCACCAAGGCGACGACGGGUAGCUGGUCUGAGAGGAUGGCCAGCCACAUUGGGACUGAGAGACGGCCCAGACUCCUACGGGGGGCAGCAGUGGGGAAUCUUGCGCAAUGGCCGCAAGGCUGACGCAGCGACGCCGCGUGUGGGAGGACGCCCCUCGGGGUGUAAACCACUGUUGCCCGGGACGAACGAGCGCUUUCGAGCGCUGUGACGGUACCGGGUGAGGAAGCACCGGCUAACUCCGUGCCAGCAGCCGCCGUAA